Molecule: transfer RNA, 33 nt
Filed under: Eisenia lucens
Lineage: Eukaryota; Metazoa; Annelida; Clitellata; Crassiclitellata; Lumbricidae
Description: partial tRNA-Leu
Source: RNAcentral
UAAUAGGUUGGCAGAAUAGUGCCAAUGGUUUAA